Molecule: ribosomal RNA, 375 nt
Filed under: Legionella pneumophila
Lineage: Bacteria; Pseudomonadati; Pseudomonadota; Gammaproteobacteria; Legionellales; Legionellaceae
Description: partial 23S ribosomal RNA
Rfam family: Bacterial large subunit ribosomal RNA
Source: RNAcentral
UUAUAUGGUCAAGAAGAGAAGCGCAAACGGUGGAUGCCUUGGCAGUAAGAGGCGAAGAAGGACGUGGAAUCCUGCGAAAAGCUAUGGGGAGCUGGAAACGAGCGAUGAGCCAUAGAUGUCCGAAUGGGGGAACCCGGCUGCAGCGAUGCGGUCAUUUGCAUUUGAAUACAUAGGAUGCAAAGGCGAACUCGGGGAACUGAAACAUCUAAGUACCCGAAGGAAAAGAAAUCAAGAGAGAUUCUCCAAGUAGCGGCGAGCGAACGGGGAGGAGCCUGGCGUGAUUUAUUAUUGAACUGAGUAGAACAAUUUGGGAAAGUUGGCGAUAGAGGGUGAAAGCCCCGUAUACGAAGGUUUGAUGAGGAACUAGGCACGCGA